This is a long non-coding RNA of Mustela lutreola (European mink), 3152 nucleotides long. RefSeq lists it as uncharacterized. The record is from RefSeq and is a predicted model, not a curated record. The transcript is spliced from 2 exons. NCBI's taxonomy places the organism in Eukaryota, Metazoa, Chordata, Mammalia, Carnivora, Mustelidae.
AACCACCUAAGACUCUAAAUAUCAAGAAAGGUUGGAUAUUUUUGUGGAGACACUUAAAAUGCUCAGUUUGUCAGUUACCACCAUGAGCUUUCUUCUUCUAGUUUGUAUUAUGUUCGCAUUGACUUGUUCUAUGUGUGUACCAUAUAUAUUUCUUUUUUAAAAAAAUUUAUUCAUUUAUUUGUGAGAGAGAGAAAGAGCAAGAGCAGGGGAAGGGAAGAGGGUGAGGGAGAAGCAGAUUUUCCCUGUUGAUCAGGGAGCCCAACACUGGCUCUGUCCCAGGACCCUGAGAUCAUGACCCAAGCUAAAGGCAGAUACUUAACCGACUGAGCCGCCCAGGCGCCCCUGCAUUUUUCUGAUCUGGGUAGAUAAACCACAUUUAUAGAUUUAAAGAAGAUUGUAUCAGCUGCUGCCGGGAAGUUUUUCCUGAGUCAGUUGAGAACCUGUGAAACUUAACCCUUGACGUUUCACUAGCUGCAGUUUGUAAUAAAAUCAGCUUUCAUCUCAAACAUGGCUGUAUGGUCCUAACAGUACAGUAGAAAGAAAGGGCAAGCCCUAGUCUUCUUUCUGACAUCCCUAAAGUUUAUAUUGUGGCCUUAACUGAAGGACUUCUUGCCUUGGCCAAUAAAAAUCAUUGCAAAUUUUAACACUUGCCUUCAACCAAAAAUAAAAUUACAGGACCUUAUUAUUUUUCCAGUGCUCUUAAAGAUUUAAAAUUUGGUCUGGGGGCUUCCUGAGGGCAUGGACUGUGUCUGAGUCAGUCACCAUUUUACCCACAGGCACUUACUUGGUGCCUGGAGCACCAUAUGGAAAGUGACCAAUGAAUGAAAUGAGUGAAUGAAAGGAAAGAUAGAACCAGAGUCACAUUUUAGUGGCCUACCUGUAUGUUUUCAGGGAAAAUGGCGUAUUUAAAAGGGGACAGAGAUAACACAUCUCUAAAAGGAGAUGAAUGGCAUAUUUAACACUUCCCAAGAAGACAGAAUCCAGCUUCUAUCGCUUGAUCUAGGUCUUUGAUUACAGAGCCACUGAGAAUUCCCCGUGGCUGAAUAUGGAUGAAACUUUAAGGCAAGCUGAAGGCCCGGGCGGCCCUGUGGACAUCAAUACUCCCAUGGAGCACUUUCCAAGAAGAAAAGUGUGGGCUUGCCGGUCUUUUCAUCAAAACUCCUAGAAUCUGGCUGACUGCCUGGUUUAUCCCAGGACAUUAGUCAGCCCACAAAUCCCACAUUUGUUUAUUCAGUCCAGAGCAAGUGAAUACUGCCAUUCUCCCAUCUCCUUUGUUGGCAAAUGCUUUGUUAACCUGAAUUGAGCUCUGCAACACAAAAUGAAGUGACUAAUCUUUUGGGGGGUUUCCCCCUCCCAGAUUCUUGUAUGAGCAACUGAGUCGAUAGGCCACAAAGCCUCAUACUGUCCUUUCCCCUCAUGCUGCCCUUUUAUUCUGAUGGGUCCACAUUGUACUUAAGGAAACCAAUACCUUCCAGAGUGUGGUUGAAGUGGCGCCACCAUUAAGAAAAGGAGGUUACGGGACUUUUUAGUCUUGUGAGAAAAUGUUAGCCAGCAAAGAGGUUGGGUUGAUUAUUUAUACUGGGGCAAUCUACUCCUGGGCACUGGCGAUAGAUGUCACCUCGCUCACCUCGCACGCUCGGAAAUCUUUCUGAUUUGUAAUAUGCGGGUCUGAAAGUGCAGGAAGGAGGAAUUUUAGCACAAACGCCCAGUUUGGAUGAUCACAACAUUACUAUGUGGUGGGUCUGGAAUACAACCUAAAAAGGAGGGAUAUACUUAAUCACUGGGCUGUUUGUCCAUUUGCAAAGAUCUGAAAGGACCUGGACUUUUUAGUGAAAGUAUAAGGAUCUGUAUUUCUGAAUUGCCAUUGACCUUGAAAGAGCGGUUAGUCUGGAAGACAACUGAGGUGGAACGUAGUACGCCAUAGAAGAGGGCAUAAAGGGAAUCAUACUGACGUCCUUGCCAUAAAUCCCAGCCAUUUUUAUGGCAGGUUGCACAUAGAAGCUUGGCAGGUGAUUCUCAUUCAUCGUUAGGCCUAUGGAAAUUCUAUUUGGUUCAUGAAGCUUUGACUGUGUUUCCCAUCGAUAACCUGUUUUUCUCUCUCCUGUUCUUCCAACUCUGGACCAGAGCUACCUUCCAGAUGACUUCUUUCUAACACACUCAUCCUCCCCCGUAUCAGAGAAUUCAAGUACAUGCUGAUGUUGGAAGGAAGAACACUCAAGAAUUGUUGCCCGACCUAUAACCCAAGGCUUAAAUUGGUCUGAAAGAGGCACCGUUGGAGCGUUCUGUGCUCGUCACUACAUCUCUGAGGCAGUGCUGAAGGAAUAGCCACAGAAGGCAGGAGACAUGAAGGAGUCCCAGUGUGUCUGGCUUUGUGCACACAAAUGGAGCCAGCCCUGUGUGUGUGUGAAGGGACUGGGCCUUCCCCAAGCUGUUGGUCAUGAUGCAAGAACAGUUUUUGCCUUCUCUGGAUCCUUGUGGUAAAAUGGCUGCCAAGAUACUUUAGAACAGAACUUGAAAAGUAUGUACCGACCACUGGAACAUGGUAACAAGAGUCCUUUGGUAUUUUUGUGUUGGCUGUGACGAAGCUGGCAUCCGUGUCCCCUUAGGUGAGGAUUCUGAGGUAACAGUGGCUGAUGCAAGCUUGUGACCCCGCUACUUCUAUUCAGAAUACGCUGUGGUGGCGGUGGUGGGGUGCUCUGUAGAUUGGGAAUCCUGCAGGAACAGCAGUUUACAGAUGAGUUCUAGGGGAACUUGUAAGGGAGAAAAAGAAACCAAACACAACGGGGAAUGUUUAACAAUUGAAACCAGUCUUUGCUUGUGUGGUCCUGUGUUUCACCACAUCACUGUGAAAACGGACUGCUGGGAGUAAGACUGAAGUGCUGAUCAUUUAUGAAGCCAAAAACCUGUUGACGGCUCUUUUUAAGGUAUAGGAGAAAAUGGCAAAACUCUCAAAACUCCAGGGAAGUUACUUCAUCGCUCUGAUUACCGCAGGCCACCAGGCUUUUGGGUCACGGGAUCACGCCGGCAUGAUGACCAAAAUAGGAGGGCAGGCUGAGCCAGACUCAGAAACAAUUCCAAAAUGCUCUAGGACUUUCCAGGAGUUCUGGAAAGUCUUUUUAUAUUUAUUUUUAAAUAAAGUAUUUUGGGAGUUU